AUAUUUUUGUGGUUCAUAAGUGUGACGACUGGUUUUUACAUGGUUGUGUAAGAUGUACCACCUAUAAACCUUGUUAUUACAUCAGCCCAUUAUCCAUCUGAUA
Erinaceus europaeus (western European hedgehog) is the source of this 103-nucleotide non-coding RNA. The record is from Rfam. NCBI's taxonomy places the organism in Eukaryota, Metazoa, Chordata, Mammalia, Eulipotyphla, Erinaceidae.